Non-coding RNA from Odocoileus virginianus texanus, 2704 nucleotides. Lineage: Eukaryota; Metazoa; Chordata; Mammalia; Artiodactyla; Cervidae. The record is from RefSeq and is a predicted model, not a curated record.
AUGGGCGGCCUCGUGCGAGCUUGGAGUGAGAGCGGGAGCGAGCGGCUGGCGUGGGGCGAGGCGCCUGCGCGGUGUCGGGCCCCUGAGCCCGAGGCGCUGAGACAGCCGGGGACGGACAUGCGCGGGAGGGCGCCGUGGGGCAGCCGCGGCUCUGCCGGGGGAAUGAAAGCCACUGGAGUGGCUGCUCAGAUCAGAGUCCCGUUAAAAACUGGAUUUCUGCACGAUGGCCAAGCCUUGGGGAGCCUGAAGGCCUGCUGGGGUGGCCGCAGCGAGUUUGAGAACAGCUUUUUAAACAUCGACCCGAUAACCGUGGCCUACAGUCUGAACUCGCGGGCGCAGGAGCAGCUAACCUCCAUCGGGCGCACCUCCAGAUCCACCCCGAUGAGCAGAAGCCACUGUGCAGAGCAUGGCCCCCCUCCGGAGUCCCGCCUGCCUCCCCUCAUCAUCCCCCCAAGUGAAGGCUGGGGCAGCAGGAGGAGGACCGGGUGGCGUGUGGACUGAAGAAGCGGGCGGUGAACGGGGUCUGUGCUGCCACACCCCCGUUGACCCCCGUCAAGAGUCCCCUGUCCCUCUUCUCCGGCCCAGUGCCCUGCGAGCGGGGCUCCCGGCCCCUGCCGCCACUGCCCAUCUCCGAGGACCUCGCCCUGGACGAGACGGACUGCGAGGUCGAGUUUCUCACCAGCUCGGACACGGACUUCCUUCUGGAAGACUGCGGGCUUUCUGACUUCAGAGCCGAUGGCCCCGGCAGACGCAGCUUCCAAGGAUGCGGACAGAUCAACUGUGCAUAUUUUGACACCCCAACUGUCUCCGCUGUGGAUCUCAGCCAGGAACCCGACCAGGUGGCUGGGGUGCCAAGCGCCAACCCCCCUCUGCCUCAGGCCCACCGGAGACUGAGGAGGUCUCACUCAGGCCCCGCGGGGUCCUUCAACAAGCCCGCCAUCAGGACCUCCAGCUCCAUGCACAGGGCUUCUCCCAAUUCCGACGACGACAAGCCAGAAGUUCCCCCUCGGGUCCCCAUCCCUCCCCGGCCGGCCAAGCCAGACUACAGAAGGUGGUCGGCCGAGGUCACCUCCAGCACCUACAGCGAUGAGGACAGGCCCCCCAAAGGCCCACCGAGAGAGCCCUUGUCCCGGAGCAACUCCCGCACCCCAAGCCCCAAAAGCCUCCCAUCUUACCUCAACGGGGUCAUGCCCCCCACGCAGAGCUUUGCCCCCGACCCCAAGUAGGUGAGCAGCAAAGCCCUGCAGAGACAGCACAGUGAGGGGGCUGCCGGCAAGGCGCCCUGCAUCCUGCCCAUCAUUGAAAGUGGGAAGAAGGUGAGCUCCACGCACUACUGCCUGCUCCCUGAGAGGCCGCCCUACCUGGACAGAUUCGAAAAAUUCUUUAGGGAAGCAGAAGAAACACACGGGAACACCCCCGUCCACCCCAUCCUGGUCCAUGGCAGCAUCUCUUCAGCCCCAGAAAAGCUGGACCUAAAGCCAUGAGUGGACCUGGGAGGCCAUGUGAAGCGCAAACAUUUCUCCUAUGUGGUUUCUCCUUAGACCCUGGAGUCCCAGCUCAGCAGAGGUGCCAUGGGAGCGAGUGGUUCUCUCACAGUUCCCCAGACCCGUCAAGGUUCCCCAGGAAAAUAGUCCAGAUCACAGGCUCAGAGAGUCGAACUCUCCGUCUGAACAGGAAGGGCUUAGAGAGUCAGGAGGUGCUGAGGUGCUGAGCAUCCCUGACCGUGUGAGCGUCAGAGAAAAGUCUGCUCAAGCCUGUCAUUUAAAGAUGCGAUGCAGGGAGGAAGGACAAGGGACACGCAUAUGUGUGCACGUUAGACGCCUGCAUCUACACUUGUGAUAAAAUCAUAGAUUCUAGUUGCAAGUUAACCCAGUAGUUCCUGUCUUAGAGUAAUAUAUAUUUAGAACAAUAAGACUCAAGCUGGAGGAUGGCUCCUGAGAGACUGAAAAUUGAGCAAAUGGGAGAGAAUACAGUAUUGUUUAGCUCAGAAUCAUAAAAUAUUAUAUAUAUAUAUAUUAUUAUUUUUUUUGCAUAAUAAGGUUGAAGAUUGCCAGCUCUGAGGCCUGUUCUGUUUUGUUUCAUUUAUUUUUACAAGCAGUUUUUCCAUGGAAGGCAGGCCAUACUUUCUUUCCGUGACUUCACGUGCCUGGUUUAAGUCGUCCUGAGACCUAAAUCCUGUAGGUCUUGCUGAAGGGAUGGCAGCACCUUUGGUACCGUAUUCUCACCUGUCCGGGUCUCAUGAAAAAUGGGAAGGUAACAGAAUAAGUCAUUUUUCCUUACCAUUCCUUCUCUGUUCCACCCACCCCCAGGAAACGCAGGACACAUGGGGAAAAACAGACUCUUGGCCAGUGUUGAGGAUGUCAGUUGAAGCAAUAAUGAAGCAGUCAGCUGUUGGGUUGAGAGUAUCUGUGUGGAGAUGUGUGUUGUAGGUUUCUUUUCUUUUUUUUCCCUCCCCUAUUUUAGUCGCAUAUGAAUAAACAAAUACAACACAAGGUGGCCUUGUGUUGCUGGUUCCUCGUCAGUAUUUCCUGGGGAUUAUUUGCUUUCUAAGUAAAACCCUUCUGACCAACAGCCCAGUAUGUCUUAAGACCGGAGGUCACAUCAUCUACUUUGGAAAUUCUCACGGCAGGCUGCUCUGCUCAGAUCUGGUGAGACAUAAAGCUCGUGUCCCACUUUCACAUGCUUCGCUGUGUUUAUCUUGUGU